Molecule: ribosomal RNA, 253 nt
Filed under: uncultured bacterium
Lineage: Bacteria
Description: partial 16S ribosomal RNA
Rfam family: Bacterial small subunit ribosomal RNA
Source: RNAcentral
UACGUAGGGGGCUAGCGUUGUCCGGAUUUAUUGGGCGUAAAGAGCGUGUAGGCGGCCAGGUAGGUCUGCUGUGAAAACUCGAGGCUCAACCUCGAGACGUCGGCGGAAACCAUCUGGCUAGAGUCCGGAAGAGGAGAGUGGAAUUCCUGGUGUAGCGGUGAAAUGCGCAGAUAUCAGGAAGAACACCCGUGGCGAAGGCGGCUCUCUGGUCCGGUACUGACGCUGAGACGCGAAAGCGUGGGGAGCGAACAGG